UCUUUAAAGUGGACUUCAGUUAAGAUGGAGGAGAAGCAAAUGCUGCUCAUGAUGCUCAUCACAGUUUCAGGUGGAUUUGCAGAUAAAAUUGGACCAAAAGAUGGAAAUACUAAUGUAAUAAAAGAAGAAGGAGAGUCUGUGACACUGAGCUGCACAUAUGAAACUAACAGCAAUGAUAUUUGGCUUUACUGGUACAGACAGUAUCCAAACAGAGAACCAGAAUAUUUACUGCUCAAAGGUGCUCGAUCACGGAGCAGUGAGGAAGAUAUACCAGACGGUUUUCAGUCGAAAACAUCCCAAUCAUCCACUGAACUCACUAUUAACAGUGUGACUCUGUCAGAUUCAGCUCUCUAUUAUUGUGCUCUGUGGAGCCCAGUGAUACAAAAUGCCUGAGAAGCUUUACAAAAACUCAUACAAAAUUAAUGCUUUGAAGUGUCUUUAAUCAAUCUGUAUCAUGUUAUUGUAAACCACAAACAGUGAAUGUGGUGACAGCUGUGAAUUUGGGAGGUUACAUAAGGGCAUGUGAAUAAAAUUCAGCAUGCAUCUC
Non-coding RNA from Ctenopharyngodon idella (grass carp), 547 nucleotides. The record is from the annotation of a RefSeq genome assembly. Lineage: Eukaryota; Metazoa; Chordata; Actinopteri; Cypriniformes; Xenocyprididae.